RNAcentral lists this long non-coding RNA (2255 nucleotides) under Citrus x clementina. RNAcentral describes it as "Citrus clementina (C. clementina) long non-coding RNA (CCLE_LNC002576)". Lineage: Eukaryota; Viridiplantae; Streptophyta; Magnoliopsida; Sapindales; Rutaceae. The record is from RNAcentral.
GUUUUACUGAAUCUAGAUGAAAUCUUAUUCAAACAAAUAAAUUUAUAUUUAAAGAGAACUUUAGUUAAUAAAGGUUUAAGUGUACUAAUAUUUAGGAUAUGUGAUAUAGUUGAAGUAAUUUGGGAGGUGAGUUGAGGUGAUUUUGGAAGUGAACUAAGGUUUUUGAGUUUGGAAUAAUAUGGAAAGCUUAAUGAAACUCACUUGAGUUAAUUUAGAGAGUUGACAUGGGGAGUUCAAGAGAGCUUAGGGGAUAGUUCUGGUGAACUUGAGGCUAGCUCUAAAGAGAUUAUCCAAGGAACUCAAUAGAGCUCAUAGUAUAACUCAUGUGAACUUGUAUAUGAAAUACGAUUUGGGCAUCAAAAUCAUCAUAAUAAGUAGAAAGUAAGCAUAAUAGAAUGCACAAGAUUUGACGUGAUUCGGCCCUUUAGCCUACAUCCACAAAAGUAAUUUAUCUCAAAUCCACUAUAUAAAUGAAGUUUUACAUUGCUUUACGAUACCAACAAACCAUAACAAAGAUUGUUUAUGAUAAAUAAUAACAAAAAUGAGAUGUGGGUCUUAUGGAGAUUAGAGAGUUUUUUAAGAAAAGAAUAAGGAAAAAGCUCCUCUAAGAUGUGAGAUAGUCAAGAUCUUCCAUAAAGGUGCAGAGUGGAGGAAAGAAACCUUAGAAAUUGAGGAAAAAGGAGAUGAAGAAGCCUUUUAAGAAGUUAGAUCUAGAAAAGACCCUUUUCUUGUGUCUUAAGCUGAAUUUAUAGGAUUAAGGGGCAUUUUUAUUUUUUCUGCCACAUGGAGAUUUUUCAUUAGUGCUACCCUCCUUAACCCUCCUUAGUUGGGGCUAUUUUCAUCUUUUUCUUUAUUCACUUGAUAGUGAGCAAAUAAUUUCUCUAGCCCUCAUGUAGUCUUAACUCUUUGUCAUGUGGUGAAAGCUAGUGCAAUGGUCCUGCUGCUUUUUAGGGGAUAAUUGAGGGGUGUUGAUGUUUCUUUUUUUCAUUGAAAAAGAUCUUGCAUGUAGCUUAAAGGAAAAAAAAAUAUUUAUGUCUUUUUUUAUGACAUGCAGCCCUCAGAUAUGAAGCCUUCAAUUGUCAUAUUUAAAUUUCAAUUUUACCCCUCAAAGUGGUGGAGUUGUUCUCUCAAAGAGUACUCCGGGCUUGCCUUGAGCUAUACUCCAUUCACUCAAUAGUGUUGACUUUUCUUCUCUUUUAUUCUUUGUUGCCUUGUGUUACUUGCCCAUUGGUCUAAAUCAAUAUCUCAAAAUUAUCCCAACUGAUUGUAAAUAUUAUACCUUUGAAAUUCCUAAAAUAAUGGAUAUAUUGAAAUUUCUAAAAUAUCUCUUUGACAUAAACAAUUAAUUAAUGGGUUAAUGAUUUGGUAGUAAAAUGAUAAAAAUUAAAACAUUAAGUGGGAAAAAGUAAUUAUUAGAAAACUUUGAUGGUAAAUGUUAUGUUAUAAAAUAUUAAAUGCUAAAAUGAUACUAUCCCAAAUUUAAUUAAAAGGUAACGAACACAUAUGUUUGUCAAUGCUCUUGCCUCUAUGGUUGCCGACGGGGUAAACAAAUGCGUGAAUUAAAAAAAAUAUAAUAAAUUUUAUUGAAAUAUUGAUUUUGUUUCCAAUUUGAAUUGGGAUAUUUUUGGGUUUAGGUGAUAAUUAUAAGAAUAUUUAUGGGACUUUAUUAAAGUAUAAACUUGUUUAUUCAAAUCAAAUUUUGAAAAGUUAUUCAUUUCUACUUUUCAAAGCCUGUUGUAGAAGAAACCGAUUUUGUUAAUAGUGAUUUUAAUUUUUUAACUAAACAUUAAAAUUAACUUUAAAAUUUUUAAAAUUACUUUUGAGCCUCAUAAAAACAAUCUCAAACAAGCGCCAAUUCCAAAUCCAAGUCGUCUAGCCAUUUCCAUUAGAUCAAUAUUGACCCUUGAUCCAUUCAAUAUGUUUAAGUGAGAACACGAUUUCUAAUGUCUCGCCAUUUGUUUUAUGCAGAAGAUAGAUGAGGUUUUAUUUUAUUUUGUUCCAGACAUUUAAGCUAUGUUUGAGAGCUAAAAUUAAGUGUAGGAUUGGAUUAAUUUUGGGAUAAACUAUUUAUCCUAUAUUUGGCAAGCUUCACUUUAGAUUAGAUUAAGGUAUUAAGUUUGAUUUAAUUCUUAAAUCUUUGGAUUAACAAUCCCAAUUUACGUAUGAAUUUAGUAAGGAUUAAUUUUAAAAAUAAUUGUCUAUUUAAUUAACCAUUACUCGUAUAUCUAAUAUAAUAUUUAAUUUAAUAAUCACUA